This 43-nucleotide non-coding RNA is filed under the name Schistosoma mattheei. The record is from RNAcentral. Lineage: Eukaryota; Metazoa; Platyhelminthes; Trematoda; Strigeidida; Schistosomatidae.
ACUGCUGACGAGUCCCAAACAGGGCGAAACGCGCGUCCUGGAU